This 273-nucleotide ribosomal RNA is filed under the name uncultured archaeon. RNAcentral describes it as "partial 16S ribosomal RNA". It matches the Rfam family "Archaeal small subunit ribosomal RNA", at positions 474 to 747 of the family's 1478-position model. The record is from RNAcentral. RNAcentral also lists the same sequence under 1 other name.
UACCAGCACCCCGAGUGGUCGGGACGAUUAUUGGGCCUAAAGCAUCCGUAGCCGGUCCUGCAAGUCCUCCGUUAAAUCCACCCGCUCAACGGUUGGGCCGCGGGGGAUACUACAGGGCUAGGAGGCGGGAGAGGCAAGCGGUACUCGAUGGGUAGGGGUAAAAUCCACUGAUCCAUUGAAGACCACCAGUGGCGAAGGCGGCUUGCCAGAACGCGCUCGACGGUGAGGGAUGAAAGCUGGGGGAGCAAACCGGAUUAGAAACCCUAGUAGUCC